Molecule: transfer RNA, 111 nt
Filed under: Pangasianodon gigas (Mekong giant catfish)
Lineage: Eukaryota; Metazoa; Chordata; Actinopteri; Siluriformes; Pangasiidae
Description: tRNA-Leu
Rfam family: tRNA
About the family: Transfer RNA (tRNA) molecules are approximately 80 nucleotides in length. Their secondary structure includes four short double-helical elements and three loops (D, anti-codon, and T loops). Further hydrogen bonds mediate the characteristic L-shaped molecular structure. tRNAs have two regions of fundamental functional importance: the anti-codon, which is responsible for specific mRNA codon recognition, and the 3' end, to which the tRNAs corresponding amino acid is attached (by aminoacyl-tRNA synthetases). tRNAs cope with the degeneracy of the genetic code in two manners: having more than one tRNA (with a specific anti-codon) for a particular amino acid; and 'wobble' base-pairing, i.e. permitting non-standard base-pairing at the 3rd anti-codon position.
Source: RNAcentral
GUCAGAAUGGCCGAGCGGUCUAAGGCGCCAGACUCAAGGUUCAAUGCCUUCCUCAUAGCUGAGUAUUCUGGUCUCCACAUGGAGGCGUGGGUUCAAAUCCCACUUCUGACA